RNAcentral lists this long non-coding RNA (429 nucleotides) under Gossypium barbadense (sea-island cotton). Its description in RNAcentral is "long non-coding RNA (GBAR_LNC022372)". The record is from RNAcentral. Lineage: Eukaryota; Viridiplantae; Streptophyta; Magnoliopsida; Malvales; Malvaceae.
UGGUAAUGCCUCGUAACCCCUUUCCAGUGAUGGAUACGAGUUAGGGGUGUUACAGCAAGGAUCAUAUGGUUGACACACACGCACGUCCGUGUCUAAGGCCAUGUUGACAUUCGGAGUAGGGACACACGGCUGUGUCCCAGCCCGUGUUCGUGCUUGUGUAAAUCUUUGACUUGGGUCACACGACCAAGCCACACGUCCAUGUGUCAGGCCGUGUAACUCUUGAAAUGGCCUCACACGCCUGUGUAUUAGGCCGUGUGGACAAGAAAAAGGUCAUUUCAAAGCAAAUUCUCUCAUCCAAAACAAGCUCACCUGUACAAGCCAUUUGCACCUAUAUUCAAGAGUUCAACAUGUACCUAAAACAUGCAUAAUCAUGCGAAAUCAAUAUGGUAUUUGUCCAUACAACCAAUAUGCCUAAAAGGCACAUCAAUC